This 841-nucleotide unclassified non-coding RNA is filed under the name Hevea brasiliensis (rubber tree). Lineage: Eukaryota; Viridiplantae; Streptophyta; Magnoliopsida; Malpighiales; Euphorbiaceae. The record is from RNAcentral.
AGGAAGGCAAGAAGAGUGAUGCCUGACCGUGAGGGAUUUGAUGGAAAUGCAUCUCAAGUUGAUAAGAUUGAUGAACAUGGUGAAAUCAGACAGGCAGCUGGGAAUUACACUGGCAGGAGUGAACAGGUGCCAAUGUCAAUAGAUUUUUCUGUCUUUGGAUCAAGACCUAUGAGCAGACCCACAAUUAACAGUGCUGACAGAUCCCAUCUGAAGAGGAAACUAGAUCUCGAAUUCCAACACCCAGAAUAGAAACCAAUAAAAUCAUUAAUUUCUGCCAGAUUUGGCACGUGCUUCUGAGGAUGGACUAUUCCAGGGCAUGCAUUUAUGAGGUAACCAAUGAUUCUCGAGUUUGUUGUAAUUAUGCGGCAGUAUUUCCUAUUUCUUAUACUGACAAGCAACAGCCUGUUCUUGGCAUUUUCACCUACUUAUUACAAGGAAGAUUAUCAUUUUUCACAUGUUUGAAGUUGUGGCACAAACAUGGGAGUAAUGAAGAUAUUUCCAUGCAAAUACUGUGGUAAAAAAGGAAAUAAUGACAUUUUUUACGUUUCAAGAGAAUUUGGUGUGUAGUCCAGGAUUACUAAUUUUUUUCCCCCUCAAUAUUUGAUGCUUGAUAGUAGUUGAACUGUGGUUUGGAGUGCAUAAAUUCCAAUGUAAAUCAUGUUUUAUUAUUUCUUCUGUUGUAUCUGAACUAAAAGGUUGCUCUACUUCAGCACUUUCCCCCCUCAUGGAUGGAUGAAAUUUACUAUUCAAUCAUAAAUGCUCUGUCCUUAUAUAACUUCCCCUUUUCCAUUUUCGUGUCAUUCUGUAUUUGACAAUUUUUUUUCUUCAAAAUAAAGAGGGC